Molecule: long non-coding RNA, 2602 nt
Organism: Lotus japonicus
Lineage: Eukaryota; Viridiplantae; Streptophyta; Magnoliopsida; Fabales; Fabaceae
Exons: 3
Source: RefSeq, a predicted model, not a curated record
CGGUUAAUUAUGAAAGUUAGACUUGGAGGAAGUUACUUGUAAAUGGGUUGUUGCAUGUUAUUUAUUGAAUGCAAUGGGGGACUGAGAAAGAAGACUUUUUAAUUGUGAUCUUGCUACUUUCUUUGUUUUCUACUAUUUGUCACAAAAAGCAACUGAUACAAUUAACAGUUUACACAAUGUGUACAUAAUUCCAUAAUUUGUAUAAUCUACACACAUUUAUGGUUAGUGAAAAAUUAAAAUUUCAACAUGUUUAAGCUGCAGCAACAUUAUGUAUUGUUAUGAAUUUACAAAUGGUCUCGACAUUGAGUCAUUAUAAUUGUUUAUAUGAUGGUGACCAGCAGAAUUCCUUGGAACAUAUGCUUUUAGCAGCAUGCAUGCUCCCAGUAAGAUCAUUCUACGUCUAAUAAUGUUGAAAGUUGAAACUUACCUAAGAAUGUCUGAACCUUUCAGUAUUGUCCUUGUUUUGCACACUGUUGCUUGUGCAUUUUUAACUGAUUUUCCCUUAUCCUUGCAACUGAACACGUGAUAAAUGGGUGGCUAACAGGUUAUUUUAGUUGGGGUUUUACUUUGUGUGUCUUUUACAUCACUAUAAAUUGAAUACAAAAAAUCCAUUGUAACUACCAGAAGCUAGACCAUCAGUCUAAAUUAUGCAGUCCAUCAGAAAUAAAUUAUGGAGACUGAUUUGUUAUCAAUGCUAAUGACCAUUGAAGUCUUUAUGUUCAUUGAUCUUGUAUGAAUACUUGGAAGUUUGUUAUUCUAUUCUGUCCUCAUCAUUGUCACUCUGAUGCCCCAUUCUUGAAAUGUGUGACUAAGUUUUGGAGUUUGACGUUCAGGGCUGCAUUGCGAUAGAUGAUAUUACAUUAGGAGAGCCAAGGCUGGGAGAAAUUGCAUAUAAAAAUAUGCCUUAACUUCUAGUUCUGGCAAGUUACUCCUGGAAUCUUCAAAAAUCUGCCAAUAGCCUCUGCCUUCCAGUCCAUAAAUUUCUGCUGUGUCAGCAACUGAGUUAACUGUUGUUGAUGAAAAUUGGAGGGAAACUGAAGUGGCCAUCUGGAAAUUUCUUAAAGCUCAGGCAAUGAUUUACAAUAGGUUAAAGUUGAAGUGGAGGGGAACACACUGUUCAGAGUCAGAUAUUUUAGGUCCAUCCCAUAUUUUGUCAAGUGAUGAAUUAUGUAUAGAAUGCCAAAAGGACUGACGUAUUCAGGGACCUAUUCUGCAAAUUCAUGGAACUUAAGAAUUAACAUGCUGAAUAGGGGUAAGAGAGAAUGAUGUCUUUGAUUGUGUUUUCUCUGAUCUUUUAUAUAUUUUUUUGGCACUACAUAUCUGCAGCAAAUUAGGGAAACUUGACUGUAUAAAUAUGAGCCCUUUUUUUUUUUUUUGUCUUGGGGUCAUAUAUGUUGUUCCAUAUGUUCUUAUUCUUAUUUCUGAGUAUGUUAACUUAAAUAUCCGUGUAAAAACAGUAGUGAGUGAUCGCAUUAAUAUUUGCCAUUUGUUAAAAUUGAGGAUGAGUAUUUCAAUGCUUCUAGUUCAUUGUCUGGUGUUUGAGCAUCUGUAUAGAAUUCUUUCCCUUUUUUUGCCAUUCCUGUCAUCUUGUUGAAUUUGGCAAAUGUACUGGCCGUUAUGCUGCGAAAAAGGAAAUUAAAAGAAUUAUGCAAUUAUGAUAUCACAUUCCUCCAGCUGAAUCAACUCUCAUUAUCUGCUGGGGAAAGUAUGACUUGUAAGUUGGAAGAAAUCUUUAACAACAAAUUGUUUUAUAUCGAUAUUAUUAUUACCACAAUUGUAUUGCAGAACUUCAAUUAUGUUUAUGACCAAAUGCAUAUUGCUGCCCCUGUUAUAUGGUACUAAUCUGAACUUCAUGUUUGCUUAUAUUACUAGAAUCACCAUCAGAGAGGUUUUACCCCUCUACAAACCAGAGGCAAGAAAAGAAGGUUGUGACCUUUACAUGAUUCCCUAUUGUAAACACUUACUUUGUGAAAUCAGUUAUUGUAAUCAUACUUAAGGGUGGGGAUUUCUUUCUGACCCGGCCACAUAAUUUUUCCUUCUUACUCUUUAUUUUUCUUUCACUCAUCUUAAAUUACAGAGGAGGGAGCUAAUAAUACAUUUGGUCAGAAAUGGUAGCAAAGCUGUUGGUUUGGGAAGCUAUGAUCAUGUGUGAUUCAAGCUAGAGGAAGCAGUUUCUCAUGAUAUGGACAUGUUCAAGUUCACUGCAGAAUCACUCAUAUUAGAAGCCUAUGAAGGAAGACUACUUGUACUGUAAAGAUCUGAACAGCCAAUAAUGUUGAAGAACAAAUCCUGAAGGGAAGAUUGACAAAAACUGAGAGAUUUUGAUUUAGAAAGCUAUAACGAUGAUUCAAAAUUUUAUUGAUAAACGUUUUUUAAGCAUGUACCAAUUUAUACAAUUGUCCAUGAGUCGUGAACGAAACUUGAAUGUAUGAGUCAAAAGAAGACUCACAGAAAUAUAAGGUUCAUCUUUCCAGAAGACCAGUGGAAUUAGAGUACAAGAAUGGCCAGAUCAUGAUAGAGCAUCUGAAUAUUUUCAAGAGUAUUAUCAAGCAGUUAACAAAUAUUGAAAUGAAAGUUAAUGUUGAACUUAAGCUUUUUUUUU